This is a long non-coding RNA of Ictalurus punctatus (channel catfish), 2738 nucleotides long. Lineage: Eukaryota; Metazoa; Chordata; Actinopteri; Siluriformes; Ictaluridae. The record is from Ensembl.
CAAACUGACAUCACUUCAAUGUAUAGCGGGGAAAAAAACUAUAAAAUCUAUUAUGGGAUAUUCUUCUGAGAACUUGUUCUGUCCGACAGUGUAAUUUUUGCACAAUGACGUUCCCUUAAGCCGGGUGCACACUGCGCUAUUUUUAAUAGUCCUUUGUAACUGUUGCUUGUCAGACUGUACGAGCACGAUCCCCACUGUAAGCCAUGUCACACUGUCGGAUCAGUUGUCAUUAAUGUCAGACUGUACGACAGUCAAGACAUGAAAAACGGACGCAGGCAAGAAAACUCGUAUGGAGUAGGAGAAGCAACACUACAGGACUGUGCCUCAAAUCUUCGGACACUGCCAGAAUUUAAUCGGAGGAAAAAUUUGAUCGCAAAGGCCAUUAAUCGGCUGACGGGGAACGCGUCAAACUAGUGAUCAAAGACUACUGAUUUUGGCCUAGGAUUAUAGGAAUCUUUUAGGAUCUCAAAAUUUCAGACAACCAAACCAUGGCCAAAAUUGCACAGUGUGAACCCGGCUUUAAUUGUUUCCACUGACCAACUUUACAGGGAAAAGGUGUGUUGCUGGACUCCGGAGACAAGAUGAUUAAAGCAGUAGUUGGGGGCGCAUGCAAAUGCAAAUCCCCCUGGAGCCGUUAGAACUUGAUUUGAAUGAAAAUUAUAUACAUAACACCUUGGGGGGGGGGGGGGGGGGGGGUUAAGAGGGGAUUCAAACCAUCCAGAUUAUCUGGAUAUCAUGAUAAAAUAAUCUAUGCAAAUAUUAAAAUUAAUAUGGCUGUCAAUCUUUCAUGCAUGUUUUUCAAAAUUCAUAGAACUGUUCAUAGUAAGCAAUGAAAUUCUGUGCCAGGCUCAGUUCACCAAAAUGUGACACUUCUUAAGAAAUUGGGUGUGGGGUGUGUGUGUGUGUGUGUUUGUGUGUGUGUGUGUGUGUGUGUGCGUGUGUGUGUGUUUCACACAUGCAAUGCAACCUCUCCAUUUCUAUUUUUUAUAGCAGCACAGUAAAGGGUGGCAUUAAGGCUAGAAAAUGACCUCUUGAACCACAGAGAAAGAAGAGAUAGGAGAAAUCUAGACAACCAAACGUAACACAAAGCCAGCAUGACACUCAAACACAGGUAUGAAGUCAGUGUGAAAAACGCAAGACAGCCAGAGAACAAGUGAAGGAGGGAGAAGAAGAAACCCAGCGAGUUACGUGCUGGAUCACGACAGGCUGAAAAAGGUGCACCAACUGUGGAAGACCUCCUACAUUGUUCCGGUGCCCAAGAAAGGUCAUCCCAGUACCUCAAAUAACUACAGACCUGUGGUGCUGACCUCACAUGUCAUGAAGACCUUUGAGAGACUGGUCCUGAGGCACCUGAACCUGAUCUUAAGUGACUCCCUUGAUCCACUGCAGUUUGCAUACCAGACCCAAAUCAGCGUGGAUGAGGCAAUCAUCUAUCUACUGCAUAGGGCUUACUCAUACCUAGAGAGGCCAGGAAGCACAUUGAGAAUCAUGUUUUACGAUUUUUUUUACUGCAUUUAACACCAUCCGGCCCCCGUUGCUUGCAGAAAAGCUCUGGAACAAAUGGGUAGAGCACGAUAUGGUGGCUUGGAUCAUGGACUAUCUCACCAGAAGACCACAGUAGGUCUGACUGCAGGGCAGCCUGUCAGAUGUAGUGAUGUGCAACACCGGCGCACCUCAAGGAACUGUGCUUUCACCUUUUCUUUUCACCAUAUACACCUCUGACUUUAACUCUGACUACAACUCUGGAACAUGCCACCUCCAGAGAUUCUCUGAUGACUCCUCCAUCGUGGGCUGCAUCAGUGAAGAGAAGGAGGAGGAGUACAGAGGCGUAGUGGAGAGCUUCCUCAGAUGGUCUGUGGAUAACCAUCUUCAGCUCAACAUCAGCAAGACCAAAGAACUGAUAGUGGACUUCUGCCGAAACAGAAAGCCCCCAACACCUAUUACCAUCCAGGGGGAGAAAAUAGAGAUGGUGGACUCGUACCAGUUCCUGGGAGUGCACAUCAACAGCAAGCUGGACUGGUCGGAAAACACCAAAGUUCUCUACCGGAAGGGACAGAGCAGACUGUUUCUUCUAAGGAGGUUCAGGUCGUUUGAUGUGUGCAGCAAGCGAUUGCAGAUGUUCUAUCAGUCUGUAGUAGCCUGUGCCCUGUUCUUUGCUGUGACAUGCUGGGGAGGUGGAGUUAAGGCUUGGAAGGCUGACAAACUCAACAAGUUGGUGAAGAAGUCCAGCUCUGUUGUUGGUCACAAACUGGACAAUCUGUAGACUCUGGUGGAGAAGAAAAUGAGAAAUAAAUUCAGGUCCAUUUUGGGAAACCCCUUUCAUCCACUGUAUGCUGAGCUGCAGCAGAUGGAGAGCACCUUCAGCCACAGGCUCAUCCCCCAAAGUGUAAGACAGAACGCUUCAGAUGUUCCUUUGUGCCGACAGCCAUUGGACUGUACAACAACUAGCCACCCCCUCCUUUGACCUUUCUUUUGACUACACUACAAAUACGCUAUUACAGUGUUGUAAUAUGGGUAUCAUACUGUAUUUUUUGCACUGCUCACACACCACAUCACUGCUUCAAAGCUACUGCUAUAUGUCUAUACUGGUUAUACUGUACAGCUGCAAUAUGUAUAUAGUUUUGUGUACACUGUACAUAUGCGAUAUGUACAUGAGCUAUUUGUAUAUUGGGACUGUACAUUGUUGCUUGAUGUAUAUACUGCUCAUAUGUAUGUGUGUGUGUGUGUGUGUGUGUGUG